RNAcentral lists this ribosomal RNA (460 nucleotides) under uncultured bacterium. RNAcentral describes it as "partial 16S ribosomal RNA". It matches the Rfam family "Bacterial small subunit ribosomal RNA", at positions 338 to 795 of the family's 1533-position model. The record is from RNAcentral.
CCUACGGGUGGCAGCAGUGAGGAAUAUUGGUCAAUGGACGAGAGUCUGAACCAGCCAAGUAGCGUGAAGGAUGACUGCCCUAUGGGUUGUAAACUUCUUUUAUAUGGGAAUAAAAUGUUCCACGUGUGGGAUUUUGUAUGUACCAUAUGAAUAAGGAUCGGCUAACUCCGUGCCAGCAGCCGCGGUAAUACGGAGGAUCCGAGCGUUAUCCGGAUUUAUUGGGUUUAAAGGGAGCGUAGGUGGAUUGUUAAGUCAGUUGUGAAAGUUUGCGGUUCAACCGUAAAAUUGCAGUUGAAACUGGCAGUCUUGAGUACAGUAGAGGUGGGCGGAAGUCGUGGUGUAGCGGUGAAAUGCUUAGAUAUCACGAAGAACUCCGAUUGCGAAGGCAGUUCACUGGACUGCAACUGACACUGAGGCUCGAAAGUGUGGGUAUCAAACAGGAUUAGAUACCCCAGUAGUC